CCUACGGGUGGCUGCAGUGGGGAAUAUUGGACAAUGGGCGAAAGCCUGAUCCAGCCAUGCCGCGUGUGUGAAGAAGGCCUUCGGGUUGUAAAGCACUUUCAGUGGGGAAGAAAGCCUUGGGGCUAAUACCCUCGAGGAAGGACAUCACCCACAGAAGAAGCACCGGCUAACUCCGUGCCAGCAGCCGCGGUAAUACGGAGGGUGCGAGCGUUAAUCGGAAUUACUGGGCGUAAAGCGCGCGUAGGCGGUCUGAUAAGCCGGUUGUGAAAGCCCCGGGCUCAACCUGGGAACGGCAUCCGGAACUGUCAGGCUAGAGUGCAGGAGAGGAAGGUAGAAUUCCCGGUGUAGCGGUGAAAUGCGUAGAGAUCGGGAGGAAUACCAGUGGCGAAGGCGGCCUUCUGGACUGACACUGACGCUGGGGUGCGAAAGCGUGGGUAGCAAACAGGAUUAGAUACCCCUGUAGUC
Molecule: ribosomal RNA, 465 nt
Filed under: Vreelandella stevensii
Lineage: Bacteria; Pseudomonadati; Pseudomonadota; Gammaproteobacteria; Oceanospirillales; Halomonadaceae
Description: partial 16S ribosomal RNA
Rfam family: Bacterial small subunit ribosomal RNA
Source: RNAcentral